UGGCUAGGAUGAACGCUAGCGACAGGCUAACACGAUGCAAGUCGAGGGUAACAGGUAGCAAUACCGCUGACGACCGGCGCACGGGUGAGUAACGCGUAUGCAACCUGCCUAUAACUGGGGAAUAGCUCCCUGAAAGGGGAAUUAACACCGCAUAACACUAUUGAUUCGCAUGGAUUAGUAGUUAAAUGUAGCGAUACAGGUUAUAGAUGGGCAUGCGUGACAUUAGCUAGUUGGUGAGGUAACGGCUCACCAAGGCUACGAUGUCUAGGGGUUCUGAGAGGAAGGUCCCCCCACACUGGUACUGAGACACGGACCAGACUCCUACGGGAGGCAGCAGUGAGGAAUAUUGGUCAAUGGGCGCAAGCCUGAACCAGCCAUGUCGCGUGCAGGAAGAACCUGCCCUAUGGGUUGUAAACUGCUUUUAUAGUAGAAGAAACACAUCUACGCGUAGAUGUCUGCCAGUAUACUAUGAAUAAGCAUCGGCUAACUCCGUGCCAGCCGCCGC
Molecule: ribosomal RNA, 505 nt
Filed under: uncultured bacterium
Lineage: Bacteria
Description: bacterial SSU rRNA
Rfam family: Bacterial small subunit ribosomal RNA
Source: RNAcentral